ACGGGAGGCAGCAGUGGGGAAUAUUGCACAAUGGGCGAAAGCCUGAUGCAGCGACGCCGCGUGAGUGAAGAAGUAUUUCGGUAUGUAAAGCUCUAUCAGCAGGGAAGAAGAAAUGACGGUACCUGACUAAGAAGCACCGGCUAAAUACGUGCCAGCAGCCGCGGUAAUACGUAUGGUGCAAGCGUUAUCCGGAUUUACUGGGUGUAAAGGGAGCGCAGGCGGAUGAUUAAGUCUGAUGUGAAAUCCCGAGGCUCAACCUCGGUGCUGCAUUGGAAACUGGUUAUCUUGAGUGUCGGAGGGGUAGACGGAAUUCCUAGUGUAGCGGUGAAAUGCGUAGAUAUUAGGAGGAACACCGGUGGCGAAGGCGGUCUACUGGACGAUAACUGACGCUGAGGCUCGAAAGCGUGGGGAGCAAACAGGAUUAGAUACCCUGGUA
Molecule: ribosomal RNA, 436 nt
Filed under: uncultured Lachnospiraceae bacterium
Lineage: Bacteria; Bacillati; Bacillota; Clostridia; Lachnospirales; Lachnospiraceae
Also listed under: 1 other name
Description: partial 16S ribosomal RNA
Rfam family: Bacterial small subunit ribosomal RNA
Source: RNAcentral